This 395-nucleotide ribosomal RNA is filed under the name uncultured bacterium. RNAcentral's name for it is "bacterial SSU rRNA". It matches the Rfam family "Bacterial small subunit ribosomal RNA", at positions 28 to 420 of the family's 1533-position model. The record is from RNAcentral.
GACGAACGCUGGCGGCGGGCUUAACACAUGCAAGUCGAACGAGAAAGGGUCCUUCGGGACCUGAGUACAGUGGCGCACGGGUGAGUAACGCGUAGACAACCUACCCCCAGGUGGGGAAUAACUACGGGAAACCGUAGCUAAUACCGCAUAAUGUCAGAUGGCCGCAUGGCCGACUGAUCAAAGCUUUAUGCGCCCGGGGAUGGGUCUGCGUUGGAUUAGCUAGUUGGUGAGGUAACAGCUCACCAAGGCAACGAUCCAUAGCGGGUCUGAGAGGAUGAUCCGCCACACUGGCACUGAGACACGGGCCAGACUCCUACGGGAGGCAGCAGUGAGGAAUAUUGCGCAAUGGAGGCAACUCUGACGCAGCCACGCCGCGUGCAGGAAGACACCCCUCA